This 3040-nucleotide unclassified non-coding RNA is filed under the name Hevea brasiliensis (rubber tree). Lineage: Eukaryota; Viridiplantae; Streptophyta; Magnoliopsida; Malpighiales; Euphorbiaceae. The record is from RNAcentral.
AGAGAGAGAGAGAGAGAGAGAUGGAGUUUCCAGUAAUUAACCUUGAGAAGCUUAAUGGUGAGGAGAGAGCUGCCACUAUGGCUAAGAUCAAAGAUGCCUGUGAGAAUUGGGGAUUCUUUGAGUUGCUGGACCAUGGAAUAGAGCCAGAGUUCUUGGACACAGUGGAGAGAAUGACAAAAGGUCAUUACAGGAAAUGCAUGGAGCAGAGAUUCAAGGAAAUGGUGGCCGGCAAAGGUCUUGAGAAUGUCCAAACUGAGAUCAAAGAUUUGGACUGGGAAAGCACCUUCUACCUCCGCCAUCUCCCUGAGUCAAACAUUGCUCAAGUUCCUGAUCUCGAUGAUGAAUACAGGUUAAAAAAAAUUAAUUAAUCAUCUUCAUGUGGCUAUUAUUUUGCUUAAGAAAUGGGUCAUCAUCAUUAUUAUUGUUCAUUUAACUAUAUGUUCUUUCUUUGAAAAUUAUAUAUAUAAAUAUAUAGUUGAUGGUGAAUAGUUUUAUUUAGUUACCCAAAUAAAUUAUAUAAAAAUGAUAUGCAGGGAGGUGAUGAAGGAGUUUGCAGCGAAGUUGGAGAAGCUUGCAGAGGAGCUUCUGGACCUGUUAUGUGAAAAUCUUGGACUAGAGAAAGGGUAUCUCAAGAAGGCCUUCUAUGGGUCAAGGGGUCCAACCUUUGGGACCAAGGUGAGCAACUACCCACCAUGCCCCAAGCCAGACCUCAUCAAGGGACUCAGAGCCCACACAGACGCUGGUGGUAUUAUCUUGCUGUUUCAGGAUGACAAGGUCAGUGGCCUUCAACUCCUUAAAGAUGGCCAGUGGAUUGAUGUGCCCCCUAUGCGCCACUCCAUUGUUAUUAACCUUGGAGACCAGCUUGAGGUAAUUACCAAUGGCAAGUACAAGAGUGUUGAGCACAGAGUUGUGGCUCAAACAGAUGGUACCAGGAUGUCAAUAGCUUCAUUCUAUAACCCUGGAAGUGAUGCACUCAUCUACCCAGCACCAGCUCUGGUGGAGAAAGAAGCAGAGCAGAAGAAGCUGGUGUACCCAAAAUUUGUUUUUGAAGACUACAUGAAGCUUUAUGCUGGGUUGAAAUUCCAGGCCAAGGAACCAAGAUUUGAAGCCAUGAAGGCUGUGGAAAGUAACGUCAAUUUGGGUCCUAUUGCAACAGCUUAAUUUAUUAUAGAAUAUUUUUAAUGGAAUCUAAAGAGAGGAUUGAGAGUGUUGUUUAAUAUUAUUAAAACGAUAAAAAAAAAAAAAAGAAAAAGAGAUUCGUGUUACAAGUAUCAUAUCUGAAUCAACCUGAAACUAAAGCUCUACUGAAAAAAGCAGAAGAAGAAUAGUUUGGCUUUGACCAUCGAAGGAGUAGUUUGCAAUACCUUGCAGAGAAGGCAAUUCCAUUGCUGUUCUCAGCCGAAUAGAUCAUGAAAAUAGAACUGAAAAAUUAAAAACUUUUUAUAGCUGAUAUUGCCAAAGAAGAGACAUGGAUUUAUCUGACAACAUUGUCAAUACUUGUCCUUACAGUUAGAAAACUAGUGCUGUUUCCCAAUGUUUUGAGUUUCCUUUUUGAUAAUGGUGGAUUAUUUAGAAAUUUCUAGUAUAGUUUUUAAGACUAUUAUUUAAGGUUAUAUAAGUAUUUCAUUGCUUCCCUUCUCAUUCUGUUCUCUCUCAUGGCCAAUUAAUCAGUACGCAAUAUGAGUUUUAUUACUAAGAAAGUUCUCUGAGCAACCGAAAACUAGAAAUUCUAUGAGAGAGGAGAUGUCAAUUUGAAGAUACUAAUAGAGAUUAGAUACAUGGAAUUGUCUUCUGGAUCAUAAUUGUUAUUCAAUUCCAAGUGCCAUAUUUCAAAAUGGCCAUCAUUUUACUGGCCUUCCUAGUAAGGGUAAGAAAAUGGCUACCUUAAUCACUACUUGAUGCUUCAUCUUAGAAUUCAGUAAAACUCAGGUCCCAGUGCUUCCACCUUCUGGAUUUGGAAAAAUGAUAUAUUGUUAAUGCAUUACAUGCAUUACAUAAAUCAUGAUUCCCUCUUUUUGGCUAUAUUCAAGAUUCACCUUACAUCCUACUUUUCUAUGUUCCCGUUAUUUACUGUCGAAUACUAAAUCAUGUCGCAAGCAUGUCCCUAAUCUAAACAUUACUUAGUCAAGCAUAGUCCUAAUCUAGGGGGUCACUUAGUUAUCCUUUAUAUCAAUAUUAGGCAACCUUCCAUGUCCAAUGCUUAAUAGCUGGUCCCCCAUUGGUUUAUUCCAAUAGUUUUAGACAAUAUGAUAUGAAUCCUCUAGCCUCUAAUUGAGUAGUUGGAAGACAAAACCAUGUGAUGCCUUCAUGAGCUAAGACCAUUAGUAGGCACAUGCAAAUAAUUCUCAGCUAGAGACUCAUUCUGUAGGAUACCCACAGGAAUCAAUUCUUCUAUAUAUACCAACAAACUGAUCUUGAGCAACUCAAGCAUUCACAUUCUCUGGUGAUAGUUUUUCCAUAAGGAGCAAAAUUCUUCUAAGCUAUUUGUCUUUUAUUCUCCUCUCAACCGAGAUACAUCAAGAAACAUACAAUGGGAGUCAAUUUGCCUGGUGUUCUUGCUAAGCAAAUCUUCCGCCAGUCUUUAUUGCCUGCAAGAAAAGCAUCUCCAACUUCAUUAGAUGUCCCAAAAGGAUUCAUAGCAGUUUACGUUGGGAAGGCCCAAAAGAAGAGAUUUCUGUUACCUGUAUCCUACUUGGAUCAGUCUUCAUUUCAAGAUUUGCUCAGGCUGGCUGAAGAGGAGUUUGGUUUCAAUCAUCCAAUGGGUGGUUUGACAAUUCCCUGCAGAUUGGAUACUUGCAAUGCUGUCAUUUUAUACUUGAAUAGAUCAUAAGAGGAAAAACUUGAAUAAUUUAUGGCUGGAAUUGCCAAAUUCAAUUGUAAAUAUGUUUUUUUACGGGAUUAAACAAUUUUACCCAAAUAAGAAAAUUUAUUAGUUAUAAAUUGUUGCUUUCUUCUUGCACACUCAGUGUUUUAUGGUUUUCAUAGUUCCUUCUCUUUUGUCAAACCUAUUUCUUGUUUGUUAAUUGAAUUGGAUUUUCAC